UUAAAUGUUAUGAAGGGGUAAAGUAGAUUUAAUUUGUCCCACAGCGAGCCAGGGGUGGUGUGAGCCUGGUGGGAACAGUUAAGUUGAAGUUCACCCCGGAACUGCAGGCUGAAUGCCCAUUGGUGGCUAGUAGGCCGGGCCGGAAUCUUUCACCGUUAAAAGGAAGGGGGUAUCGGAAGUGUUUUCCCGUACCCUGAUGAGUGGUUCCGGGUAAAUAUACGGAACAAAUAGGGUGGUACCGCGAGGCCAUAACAUCCCGUCCCUAAG
RNAcentral lists this non-coding RNA (267 nucleotides) under Peptococcaceae bacterium. Its description in RNAcentral is "T-box sequence". It matches the Rfam family "T-box leader". From Rfam's summary of the family: Uncharged tRNA acts as the effector for transcription antitermination of genes in the T-box leader family. T-boxes are found upstream of many aminoacyl-tRNA synthetase genes and some amino acid biosynthetic genes usually in Gram-positive bacteria. Lineage: Bacteria; Bacillati; Bacillota; Clostridia; Eubacteriales; Peptococcaceae. The record is from RNAcentral.